This 225-nucleotide unclassified non-coding RNA is filed under the name fungal sp. RNAcentral describes it as "partial contains 5.8S ribosomal RNA, internal transcribed spacer 2, and large subunit ribosomal RNA". Lineage: Eukaryota; Fungi. The record is from RNAcentral.
CGCACAUUGCGCCCCAUGGUACUCCGUGGGGCAUGCCUGUUCGAGCGUCAUUUAACCCUCAAGCACUGCUUGGUGUUGGGCGUCGUCUGACCGGACGUGUCCUAAAUCGAUCGGCAGCGGGUUCGCCGGCUUCUUGCGCAGCACAUUGCGCGUUGGCCGACGCACCCAGCGCCGCAACGCCCAUAGUUUGACCUCGGAUCAGGUAGGGAUACCCGCUGAACUUAA